GAUGAACGCUGGCGGCGUGCCUAAUACAUGCAAGUCGAGCGAACGGACGAGAAGCUUGCUUCUCUGAUGUUAGCGGCGGACGGGUGAGUAACACGUGGAUAACCUACCUAUAAGACUGGGAUAACUUCGGGAAACCGGAGCUAAUACCGGAUGAUAUUUUGAACCGCAUGGUUCAAAAGUGAAAGACGGUCUUGCUGUCACUUAUAGAUGGAUCCGCGCUGCAUUAGCUAGUUGGUAAGGUAACGGCUUACCAAGGCAACGAUGCAUAGCCGACCUGAGAGGGUGAUCGGCCACACUGGAGCUGAGACACGGUCCAGAGUCCUACGGGAGGCAGCAGUAGGGAAUGUUCCGCAAUGGGCGAAAGCCUGACGGAGCGACGCCGCGUGUGUGAUGAAGGUCUUCGGAUCGUAAAACUCUGUUAUGAGGGAAGAACAUAUGUGGAAGGAACUGUGCACAGCUUGACGGUAACUAAUCAGAAAGCCACGGCUAACUACGUG
Molecule: ribosomal RNA, 497 nt
Filed under: uncultured bacterium
Lineage: Bacteria
Description: partial 16S ribosomal RNA
Rfam family: Bacterial small subunit ribosomal RNA
Source: RNAcentral